CCUACGGGUGGCAGCAGUGGGGAAUAUUGGACAAUGGGGGGAACCCUGAUCCAGCCAUGCCGCGUGUGUGAAGAAGGCCCUCGGGUUGUAAAGCACUUUCAGUGAGGAAGAACGCCUGGUGGUUAAUACCCAUCAGGAAAGACAUCACUCACAGAAGAAGCACCGGCUAACUCCGUGCCAGCAGCCGCGGUAAUACGGAGGGUGCGAGCGUUAAUCGGAAUUACUGGGCGUAAAGCGCGCGUAGGUGGCUUGAUAAGCCGGUUGUGAAAGCCCCGGGCUCAACCUGGGAACGGCAUCCGGAACUGUCAAGCUAGAGUGCAGGAGAGGAAGGUAGAAUUCCCGGUGUAGCGGUGAAAUGCGUAGAGAUCGGGAGGAAUACCAGUGGCGAAGGCGGCCUUCUGGACUGACACUGUCACUGAGGUGCGAAAGCGUGGGUAGCAAACAGGAUUAGAUACCCUAGUAGUC
Molecule: ribosomal RNA, 465 nt
Filed under: Vreelandella stevensii
Lineage: Bacteria; Pseudomonadati; Pseudomonadota; Gammaproteobacteria; Oceanospirillales; Halomonadaceae
Description: partial 16S ribosomal RNA
Rfam family: Bacterial small subunit ribosomal RNA
Source: RNAcentral